Molecule: ribosomal RNA, 450 nt
Filed under: uncultured bacterium
Lineage: Bacteria
Description: partial 16S ribosomal RNA
Rfam family: Bacterial small subunit ribosomal RNA
Source: RNAcentral
GUAGGGAAUCUUCGGCAAUGGGGGCAACCCUGACCGAGCAACGCCGCGUGAGUGAAGAAGGUUUUCGGAUCGUAAAACUCUGUUGGUAGAGAAGAACGUUGGUGAGAGUGGAAAGCUCAUCAAGUGACGGUAACUACCCAGAAAGGGACGGCUAACUACGUGCCAGCAGCCGCGGUAAUACGUAGGUCCCGAGCGUUGUCCGGAUUUAUUGGGCGUAAAGCGAGCGAAGGUGGUUUAUUAAGUCUGGUGUAAAAGGCAGUGGCUCAACCAUUGUAUGCAUUGGAAACUGGUAGACUUGAGUGCAGGAGAGGAGAGUGGAAUUCCAUGUGUAGCGGUGAAAUGCGUAGAUAUAUGGAGGAACACCGGUGGCGAAAGCGGCUCUCUGGCCUGUAACUGACACUGAGGCUCGAAAGCGUGGGGAGCAAACAGGAUUAGAUACCCGGGUAGUCC